RNAcentral lists this transfer RNA (84 nucleotides) under Vitis vinifera (wine grape). It matches the Rfam family "tRNA". Rfam says of the family: Transfer RNA (tRNA) molecules are approximately 80 nucleotides in length. Their secondary structure includes four short double-helical elements and three loops (D, anti-codon, and T loops). Lineage: Eukaryota; Viridiplantae; Streptophyta; Magnoliopsida; Vitales; Vitaceae. The record is from Rfam by way of RNAcentral.
GGAUCAAUGUUUAAUCGGCUAAUGGGGAUAAACUGUAAAUUUGUUGGCAGCAUGUCUAUGCUGGUUCAAAUCUAGCUCGAUCCA